Long non-coding RNA from Xiphophorus couchianus (Monterrey platyfish), 670 nucleotides. RefSeq lists it as uncharacterized. The transcript is spliced from 2 exons. NCBI's taxonomy places the organism in Eukaryota, Metazoa, Chordata, Actinopteri, Cyprinodontiformes, Poeciliidae. The record is from RefSeq and is a predicted model, not a curated record.
AUCAGAUUUUUACGUUUGUGUUGAAUGUCUCCUUUAAAAUAUUUUUUACCACCAAUGACAAAGAAAACAUUUCCACUUUUUGGCAAAAUCCACCAGCUGCACAAGUCUUGUUAAGUAGCUGGAAGCAGUGAUGAGCCCAGAUUGAGGUGAGAGAGGGGCUGGUCUCCUGCCUCCAGCGCCAUCUGCUCCAGAAAGGACACUUUUAGACAUGCUGAAUAGACAAUACAGCGCUGGCGAACACAGGUGGUGAUUAUCAAAGCAGUUACAUCAUCAAUACAGACAGGAGGGAGAGAUGACUUACUCUUUUUGGAGAUGACUGGCUGAAUGCGGGGCUCAAGUAAUAAACUUUACUCUAUUAAAAAAAAACCUGGAGAUUUCUGGAGGGAUUCAGUCAGAAGAUGCAAAACCUUCUCAAGUAUGUAAAGCCAAUAUAGUGUGAUAAAAGAAAAAAAAAAGAGGAAGGUUAAAUGGUCAACAGAGAAUCUGUAGGGUUAGACCCGUCGUUACCGACUCUUAACUCGUCAAAGUGGAUUAGAAACGUCGGUUGUCCGACACUUCAUUCCUCAUAAUUUCUCUCACAUUUUUCAGAAAGACUCACGAAAAGUUCCACACUUACUCUAAUGCAUAUCUGAAACUGAUUCAUAUCUAAAAAAAAAAAAAAAAAAAAAAA